Long non-coding RNA from Xiphophorus couchianus (Monterrey platyfish), 325 nucleotides. RefSeq lists it as uncharacterized. The record is from RefSeq and is a predicted model, not a curated record. The transcript is spliced from 2 exons. NCBI's taxonomy places the organism in Eukaryota, Metazoa, Chordata, Actinopteri, Cyprinodontiformes, Poeciliidae.
UGGAGGACCAGCGAUUUGCUCGCUCUGGAUCAAACUCCAAUGAGGUCUCAACAAACAACUUGGCCACGCUGCUAUCCCUGCUUGCCAAGCUUCUUGCCACCACUACCACAACUACAACAACUACAAAAGCACCUACAACAGCAGCUGCUACUACAUAAAAUGGAGUCUUGAACAUCAGCAAAUUUGUCAUGUGUUGAGAAAGUUGUCAUUGUUUUUUUUAUCUCAAUUUUCAAUGACAUUGGAAAUCAGUUUCCAAUAUCAUUGAAACAUGGAUCAAACCUGCUGUCAUGUUUGGUUUUGUGCCCAAUAAAGCUCAGCAAAAAAA